GACGAAGGGGGCUAGCGUUGCUCGGAAUCAUUGGGCGUAAAGGGUAGGUAGGUUGUCUUGUUUGUCUAAGGUGAAAUCCCACGGCUUAACUGUGGAAGUGCCUUAGAAACGGCGAGACUAGAGUCCUAGAGGGGUUUGUGGAAUUCCCGGUGUAGCGGUGAAAUGCGUAGAGAUCGGGAGGAACACCAGCGGCGAAGGCGGCAAACUGGAUAGGCACUGACACUCAACUACGAAAGCGUGGGGAUCAAACAGG
RNAcentral lists this ribosomal RNA (253 nucleotides) under uncultured bacterium. RNAcentral's name for it is "partial 16S ribosomal RNA". It matches the Rfam family "Bacterial small subunit ribosomal RNA", at positions 524 to 776 of the family's 1533-position model. The record is from RNAcentral.